This 301-nucleotide ribosomal RNA is filed under the name uncultured bacterium. RNAcentral's name for it is "partial 16S ribosomal RNA". It matches the Rfam family "Bacterial small subunit ribosomal RNA", at positions 509 to 808 of the family's 1533-position model. The record is from RNAcentral.
CAGCAGCCGCGGUAAUACGAAGGGUGCAAGCGUUAAUCGGAAUUACUGGGCGUAAAGCGUGCGUAGGCGGUUUGUUAAGUCUGCUGUGAAAUCCCCGGGCUCAACCUGGGAAUGGCAGUGGAUACUGGCAAGCUAGAGUGUGUCAGAGGAUGGUGGAAUUCCCGGUGUAGCGGUGAAAUGCGUAGAGAUCGGGAGGAACAUCAGUGGCGAAGACGGCCAUCUGGGACAUCACUGACGCUGAGGCACGAAAGCGUGGGGAGCAAACAGGAUUAGAUACCCCAGUAGUCCCUGUCUCUAUACC